GAAUUCAUGGUGUAGUGGUCAGCACACUCGGCGCGUAUUCGAGAGGUCCGUGGUUCGAAUCCCGGCGAGGGCA
Molecule: transfer RNA, 73 nt
Filed under: Stegodyphus mimosarum
Lineage: Eukaryota; Metazoa; Arthropoda; Arachnida; Araneae; Eresidae
Rfam family: tRNA
About the family: Transfer RNA (tRNA) molecules are approximately 80 nucleotides in length. Their secondary structure includes four short double-helical elements and three loops (D, anti-codon, and T loops). Further hydrogen bonds mediate the characteristic L-shaped molecular structure. tRNAs have two regions of fundamental functional importance: the anti-codon, which is responsible for specific mRNA codon recognition, and the 3' end, to which the tRNAs corresponding amino acid is attached (by aminoacyl-tRNA synthetases). tRNAs cope with the degeneracy of the genetic code in two manners: having more than one tRNA (with a specific anti-codon) for a particular amino acid; and 'wobble' base-pairing, i.e. permitting non-standard base-pairing at the 3rd anti-codon position.
Source: Rfam by way of RNAcentral